RNAcentral lists this ribosomal RNA (253 nucleotides) under uncultured bacterium. RNAcentral describes it as "partial 16S ribosomal RNA". It matches the Rfam family "Bacterial small subunit ribosomal RNA", at positions 524 to 776 of the family's 1533-position model. The record is from RNAcentral.
UACGGGGGGAGCAAGCGUUGUUCGGAUUUACUGGGCGUAAAGGGCGCGUAGGCGGCCACCGCAAGUCGACUGUGAAAUCUCCGGGCUUAACCCGGAAAGGUCAGCCGAUACUGCGGGGCUAGAGUGCAGAAGGGGCAACUGGAAUUCCUGGUGUAGCGGUGGAAUGCGCAGAUAUCAGGAGGAACACCGGUGGCGAAGGCGGGUCUCUGGGCAGUAACUGACGUGAGGAGCGAAAGCGUGGGGAGCGAACAGG